GAUGAACGCUGGCGGCGUGCUUAACACAUGCAAGUCGAACGGAAAGGCUCCUGCUUGCAGGGGUACUCGAGUGGCGAACGGGUGAGUAACACGUGGGUGAUCUGCCCUGCACUUCGGGAUAAGCCUGGGAAACUGGGUCUAAUACCGGAUAGGACCACAUUUUGGAUGGUGUGGUGGAAAGUUUUUCGGUGUGGGAUGAGCUCGCGGCCUAUCAGCUUGUUGGUGGGGUAAUGGCCUACCGAGGCGUCGACGGGUAGCCGGCCUGAGAGGGUGUACGGCCACAUUGGGACUGAGAUACGGCCCAGACUCCUACGGGAGGCAGCAGUGGGGAAUAUUGCACAAUGGGCGCAAGCCUGAUGCAGCGACGCCGCGUGGGGGAUGACGGCCUUCGGGUUGUAAACUCCUGUCGCUAGGGACGAAGCGUUUUUGUGACGGUACCUGGAGAAGAAGCACCGGCUAACUACGUG
RNAcentral lists this ribosomal RNA (467 nucleotides) under uncultured bacterium. Its description in RNAcentral is "partial 16S ribosomal RNA". It matches the Rfam family "Bacterial small subunit ribosomal RNA", at positions 28 to 507 of the family's 1533-position model. The record is from RNAcentral.